RNAcentral lists this ribosomal RNA (768 nucleotides) under uncultured Actinomycetes bacterium. Its description in RNAcentral is "bacterial SSU rRNA". It matches the Rfam family "Bacterial small subunit ribosomal RNA", at positions 762 to 1526 of the family's 1533-position model. The record is from RNAcentral. Lineage: Bacteria; Bacillati; Actinomycetota; Actinomycetes.
UGGGGAGCAAACAGGCUUAGAUACCCUGGUAGUCCCACGCCGUAAACGGUGGGUACUAGGUGUGGGGGACAUUCCACGUUCUCUGUGCCGUAGCUAACGCAUUAAGUACCCCGCCUGGGGAGUACGGCCGCAAGGCUAAAACUCAAAGGAAUUGACGGGGCCCCGCACAAGCGGCGGAGCAUGCGGAUUAAUUCGAUGCAACGCGAAGAACCUUACCUGGGUUUGACAUAUACCGGAAACGUCUAGAGAUAGGCGCCCCGUAAGGUCGGUAUACAGGUGGUGCAUGGCUGUCGUCAGCUCGUGUCGUGAGAUGUUGGGUUAAGUCCCGCAACGAGCGCAACCCUCGUCCAAUGUUGCCAGCGGAUAAUGCCGGGGACUCAUUGGAGACCGCCGGGGUCAACUCGGAGGAAGGUGGGGAUGACGUCAAGUCAUCAUGCCCCUUAUGUCCAGGGCUUCACGCAUGCUACAAUGGCCGGUACAAAGAGUUGCGAGCCUGUGAGGGUGAGCGAAUCUCAAAAAGCCGGUCUCAGUUCGGAUUGGGGUCUGCAACUCGACCCCAUGAAGUCGGAGUCGCUAGUAAUCGCAGAUCAGCAACGCUGCGGUGAAUACGUUCCCGGGGCUUGUACACACCGCCCGUCAAGUCAUGAAAGUCGGUAACACCCGAAGCCGGUGGCCUAACCCGUUUGGGGGGGAGCUGUCGAAGGUGGGACUGGUAAUUAGGACUAAGUCGUAACAAGGUAGCCGUACCGGAAGGUGCGGCUGGAUCAC